UGCAAGCUUUAAAUCCUAUUUAACCAUCUCAGUAUCCGGCUAUAUAUAUAUAUUAGACUGAAGAUCUGGGCACAACUUUAAUUAUGACAUUCAAACAAAUGAACAUCAAGAAGAGGAGAGGUGACCCAUCAGGAAAAUGCAGGACAAGUCCAACUUCUGAGAAGUGGAAACAGAGAAACUACCAAGAUAAAUACAGGCACUUUUUAAGUUUUCAGGUUGCAAUAGUACGUUUUUAUUAAUGUAUUUAUUUACAGUAAUCUUAAUUGUCUAUUUCCUGCAUGCUUUAUGUAAAAUGUAAAAGUUGCAGUGUGUAACGUGUCAAUAAAAAAUCUCUACAGAGUAAA
Astyanax mexicanus (Mexican tetra) is the source of this 344-nucleotide long non-coding RNA. RefSeq lists it as uncharacterized. The record is from RefSeq and is a predicted model, not a curated record. The transcript has 2 exons. Lineage: Eukaryota; Metazoa; Chordata; Actinopteri; Characiformes; Acestrorhamphidae.